CACCUCUCAGGGCCACACCUGGAGAGUUUCCAGUACUCUACCAGUCUCAGCUAUAGGAGAGAGAGUCUGGCAGAGGCAUAUCCAUUCUAUCUCUAGCUUGGGCAGUGGCUAGCGAGUGGAAGGCAAUCUGCUACAAGU
Small nucleolar RNA from Tachyglossus aculeatus (Australian echidna), 138 nucleotides. Lineage: Eukaryota; Metazoa; Chordata; Mammalia; Monotremata; Tachyglossidae. The record is from RefSeq and is a predicted model, not a curated record.